RNAcentral lists this ribosomal RNA (263 nucleotides) under uncultured bacterium. RNAcentral's name for it is "partial 16S ribosomal RNA". It matches the Rfam family "Bacterial small subunit ribosomal RNA", at positions 793 to 1055 of the family's 1533-position model. The record is from RNAcentral.
GUCCAUGCCGUAAACGAUGUCAACUAGCCGUUGGGGACCUUGAGUCCUUAGUGGCGCAGCUAACGCGAUAAGUUGACCGCCUGGGGAGUACGGUCGCAAGACUAAAACUCAAAUGAAUUGACGGGGGCCCGCACAAGCGGUGGAGCAUGUGGUUUAAUUCGAUGCAACGCGAAGAACCUUACCUGGUCUUGACAUAGUAAGAACUUUCCAGAGAUGGAUUGGUGCCUUCGGGAGCUUACAUACAGGUGCUGCAUGGCUGUCGU